UACGUAGGGGGCAAGCGUUGUCCGGAAUCAUUGGGCGUAAAGCGCGUGUAGGCGGCCCGAUAAGUCCGCUGUGAAAGUCCAGGGCUCAACCCUGGGAUGCCGGUGGAUACUGUCGGGCUAGAAUCCGGAAGAGGCGAGUGGAAUUCCUGGUGUAGCGGUGGAAUGCGCAGAUAUCAGGAGGAACACCAAUAGCGAAGGCAGCUCGCUGGGACGGUAUUGACGCUGAGGCGCGAAAGCGUGGGGAGCAAACAGG
RNAcentral lists this ribosomal RNA (253 nucleotides) under uncultured bacterium. Its description in RNAcentral is "partial 16S ribosomal RNA". It matches the Rfam family "Bacterial small subunit ribosomal RNA", at positions 524 to 776 of the family's 1533-position model. The record is from RNAcentral.